RNAcentral lists this transfer RNA (76 nucleotides) under Acholeplasmatales bacterium. Its description in RNAcentral is "tRNA-Phe". It matches the Rfam family "tRNA". Rfam says of the family: Transfer RNA (tRNA) molecules are approximately 80 nucleotides in length. Their secondary structure includes four short double-helical elements and three loops (D, anti-codon, and T loops). The record is from RNAcentral. Lineage: Bacteria; Bacillati; Mycoplasmatota; Mollicutes; Acholeplasmatales.
GGCUCUGUAGCUCAGUAGGUAGAGCAAAGGACUGAAAAUCCUUGUGUCAGCGGUUCAAUUCCGCUUGGGGCCACCA